UACGAAGGGGCUAGCGUUGUUCGGAAUUACUGGGCGUAAAGCGCGCGCAGGCGGUCCUUUAAGUCAGGGGUGAAAGCCCAGAGCUCAACUCUGGAACUGCCUUUGAAACUAGAGGACUUGGGUACGGGAGAGGUGAGUGGAAUUCCGAGUGUAGAGGUGAAAUUCGUAGAUAUUCGGAAGAACACCAGUGGCGAAGGCGGCUGACUGGACACAUAUUGACGCUGAGGCUCGAAAGCAUGGGAGCAACA
Molecule: ribosomal RNA, 248 nt
Filed under: uncultured bacterium
Lineage: Bacteria
Description: partial 16S ribosomal RNA
Rfam family: Bacterial small subunit ribosomal RNA
Source: RNAcentral